AAGAGAUCGGGAUAACACCUGGAAACAGAUGCUAAUACCGGAUAACAACAGAUGAUGCCUAUCAACUGUUUAAAAGAUGGUUCUGCUAUCACUCUGGAUGGACCUGCGGUGCAUUAGCUAGUUGGUAGGGUAACGGCCUACCAAGGCGAUGAUGCAUAGCCGAGUUGAGAGACUGAUCGGCCACAUUGGGACUGAGACACGGCCCAAACUCCUACGGGAGGCAGCAGU
RNAcentral lists this ribosomal RNA (228 nucleotides) under uncultured Lactobacillus sp. RNAcentral's name for it is "partial 16S ribosomal RNA". It matches the Rfam family "Bacterial small subunit ribosomal RNA", at positions 132 to 355 of the family's 1533-position model. The record is from RNAcentral. Lineage: Bacteria; Bacillati; Bacillota; Bacilli; Lactobacillales; Lactobacillaceae.